AGUGAACGCUGGUGGUAGGCCUAACACAUGCAAGUCGAACGGCAGCACAGGAGAGCUUGCUCUCUGGGUGGCGAGUGGCGGACGGGUGAGGAAUACAUCGGAAUCUACCUUUUCGUGGGGGAUAACGUAGGGAAACUUACGCUAAUACCGCAUACGACCUACGGGUGAAAGUGGGGGACCGCAAGGCCUCACGCGAUUAG
Molecule: ribosomal RNA, 200 nt
Filed under: uncultured bacterium
Lineage: Bacteria
Description: partial 16S ribosomal RNA
Rfam family: Bacterial small subunit ribosomal RNA
Source: RNAcentral